GGGCCUGCCCCCUGCGUCCCGGGGGCAUAGGCGUUCUUAAGGCUGCAGAGCCCUGGGUCCCCCACCCGGCCCCGGUUCACUUUGAGCGGUCCCAAGGCCUGAGGGCCUACUGUCCAGUCCCCGGGUUAUCGUCCUGAGCAAAGACAGACCCGGAGCCCUGCGGUCUUGGGGCUCAAACAGUCCCUGGAUGGCCAAACAAGCGAAUAUUCGCCAUGGCAGUGGGUGCUGGAAGGGUGGCUCACGGAGCUGACGCCCUCUGCAGAGAACCGUGGUCUAGUCCUGCGGUCACGAGGCCUAUCUGGGACAGUGGUGUUUGAGCUGAGACUUUAAGGAAUAGAGACAGGUGAGGUUCCUGCAGCCCAGGGCCUCAGGCACUGUGCUAAGCAGUUUUACUGGAAGUGUCUACCUCAUUUCGUUCUCUGAAUAGCUCUAAGAGCGUGAACAACCCCAGAAGGAAAAAGAGUGCUGUUGUUAAAGGUAUCUGGCAUCAUGGACCCAACCAUCACCAGGAGUUUCUCACUUCAUCUCUGUGUGAUAAAUUUUGACAUAUCUAUACAUCCAUGAAGCCGGCACCACAAUCAAGAUAAUGAACAUCUCGCUUACCCCAGAAGUUUCCUGUGCCCUCUCACUCCUCCGUAUUCCUCCAUCCUCAGGAUUUCAUCAAAUGGUCUGCUGCACUGUGCUGGAAUUUUGAACUCCCCAGAGUAGUAAACAACAUCUUCUCAAGCGUAUACAAGUCAUCAGAUAGAGAAAACACCCAUUAUAGAGCUGUGGGGCCCUUACGAUAUAGUGCUAUGCUGCAACAAAGUAGACAGAAGAGUAUUUGUUGAAUAAUAGAAAGUAUCAAUGAACGAACAAAUAAACUAAUGAGCUGAUGUAUUGAUUAAAUGAAUUUACUUCUUUCAGAUUUACUUUUCCAAACUAAAAAAGAUUGUUUUAAACUUUGUUCCAAAGUUAUACAGUUUUUACAAAAAUAAACAGUUUUAUUUUUGAAUUGCUUUAUAUUUACAGAAAAGUUGCAAAGAUAUGGAAAGUUGCCUCACCCUAUAAUUAGCUUCUGACAUUAGUAUGGUACAUUUGUCACAAUUAAUGAACCAGUAUUGAUGAUAUGUUAUUAUUAACUAAAUUUUAUACUUUAUUAAGAUUUCCUCAGUUUUUACCUAAUGCCAUUUCUCUGUUCCAGGAACCCAUCCCAGAAACCACAUUUCAUAUUGAUAUCAUGUUUCCUAAGACUCCUCUUCGUAGGUACAGUUUCAGGGCCAAGAUUUUAAGGGCCUUGAGUGUUUUGAGCAGUACUGGACAGGUGUUUUUUAGGAUGUCCCUUGACUGAGCUUUGACUGAUGAAUUGCUCAUGAUUGAAUUGGGACUAUGGGUCUUCAGAAGAAAGAUCAUGAGCCCUUUUUGUCACAUCAUAUCAAAGAUACCAUGCCAUCAGUACAACUUAUUACUGAUGAUGUUGACAUUGACCACUUGUCUGAGAUAACAUUUGUCAGAUUUCUCCACUGUAAAGUUACUUUUCCCCACUUUCCAUACUAUACUCUUCUGUAGGAAUUCACUAUGCACAGGCCAUGCUUAAAGAGAGCUCCAUCUCCUUGAGGGCAGAGUAACUACAUUAAAUAUUUGAAAUCUUUCUGCCCAGGAGAUUUGUCUAUUUUUCCAAUUUAUUUAUUCAAUCUAUUAUUAUUAUGUUAGAUAUGAGACCUUGCUAUGUUGCCUAGAUGGGUCUCAAACUCCUGAGCUCAAGUAAUCCUUCUGUCUCAGCCUCCUGAGCAGGUGGGACUAUAGGCAUGCACCACUGCACCUGACAAUCAUUUAUUGAUGGCAGUAUGAACUCAUGGACAUUUGUUUUAUCCUUAAGUUAUAACCCAAUAUUAUAUUAUUUUAUUGCUAAAUUAUUUCAGUUUUGGCCAUUGAGGUCUUUUGUUUAAUGCCCAUGUCAUUUUGACAUACCUCUAUCAUUGUGGGAUUUCUUUUUCCUUUUUUGCAGAUAUUUCUUUAGUUUUUGGCACUACAAGAGGCUCCAGUUUCAUCAUCUAUCCUGCCCCAGCCCAAGAUUCAACCAUUUCUUCAAGUAGCCCUUGCUCUUUUUUACUGUAGAUUGUAGUUAAUAAUCAAGUUCUUGUCACUAGAUUCUUCAGAAAUUUUUUUUUAGUUUAUAUAUUUGUUGAUAAGGUAUUGAUAAAGAUUCUGGUAGUGAUUACCAAUGUAACUUUUGGCAAAUUAUCUGAAACAUGGAAAUAAUAAUUUCUACUUCAUAGGACUGUUGUACAUUUUAAAUGGAUUCACUAGGAUAGUGCACGGAGUAAAAGGAAACAAAUAGUAACUCUAAAUGGUAUUAUUACAAAUUCAUUGGAAAUAAAUAAAUGUAAAUUUGCUUCCAAAAGUC
Molecule: long non-coding RNA, 2386 nt
Organism: Gorilla gorilla gorilla (western lowland gorilla)
Lineage: Eukaryota; Metazoa; Chordata; Mammalia; Primates; Hominidae
Exons: 5
Source: RefSeq, a predicted model, not a curated record